This 459-nucleotide ribosomal RNA is filed under the name uncultured bacterium. Its description in RNAcentral is "partial 16S ribosomal RNA". It matches the Rfam family "Bacterial small subunit ribosomal RNA", at positions 338 to 795 of the family's 1533-position model. The record is from RNAcentral.
CCUACGGGUGGCAGCAGUGAGGAAUAUUGGUCAAUGGACGAGAGCCUGAACCAGCCAAGUAGCGUGAAGGAUGACUGCCCUAUGGGUUGUAAACUUCUUUUAUAUGGGAAUCAAACAGGGUAUGCAUACCCUCUUGUAUUUACCAUAUGAAUAAGGAUCGGCAAACUCCGUUCCAGCAGACGCGGUACUACGGAGGAUCCGAUCGUUAUCCGGAUUUAUUGGGUUAAAGGGGUGCGCGGGCGGCCUGUUAUGUCAGCGGUAAAGGCCCGGGGCUAAACCCCGGCGAGCCGUUGAAAUUGGCGGGCUGGAGUUGGAGAGAAGUACGCGGAAUGCGCGGUGUAGCGGUGAAAUGCUUAGAUAUCGCGCAGAACACCGAUUGCGAAGGCAGCGUACCGGCUCCACACUGACGCUGAGGCACGAAAGCGUGGGUAUCGAACAGGAUUAGAUACCCCUGUAGUC